UAGCUGAACAAACAAGUUUGCAAGUGUGGU
This 30-nucleotide non-coding RNA is filed under the name Rattus norvegicus (Norway rat). Lineage: Eukaryota; Metazoa; Chordata; Mammalia; Rodentia; Muridae. The record is from RNAcentral.